CCUGUCCAUUUAAAAUGACAAAUCUGCCUUUCCACUAUAAAAAAUCUGACUUUUUACUAUAAAAUUUUAACGAUGUAAAAUUUUUUUAUCAUAAAUAAAUAUAUUUUUGUAACAAAAAAAUUUUAUUAUCAAAAAUUAAGAAUUUACAAUAAAAAAAAUUUUCAUCAUAAAAAAUUAAAUCUUUGUGACGAAAUAUUAAUUUUCAUUACUAGA
This 213-nucleotide long non-coding RNA is filed under the name Elaeis guineensis (African oil palm). Its description in RNAcentral is "long non-coding RNA (EGUI_LNC047996)". The record is from RNAcentral. Lineage: Eukaryota; Viridiplantae; Streptophyta; Magnoliopsida; Arecales; Arecaceae.